This 468-nucleotide ribosomal RNA is filed under the name uncultured bacterium. Its description in RNAcentral is "partial 16S ribosomal RNA". It matches the Rfam family "Bacterial small subunit ribosomal RNA", at positions 28 to 507 of the family's 1533-position model. The record is from RNAcentral.
GACGAACGCUGGCGGCGGGCUUAACACAUGCAAGUCGAACGGAAAGGCCCUGCUUUUGUGUGGUGCUCGAGUGGCGAACGGGUGAGUAACACGGGAGUAACCUGGCCUUUACGUUGGGAUAACUUCAGGAAACUGGGGCUAAUACCGGAUAGGAGCGCCUGCUGCAUGGUGGGGGUUGGAAAGUUUCGGCGGUGGGGGAUGGACUCGCGGCUUAUCAGCUUGUUGGUGGGGUAGUGGCUUACCAAGGCUUUGACGGGUAGCCGGCCUGAGAGGGUGACCGGCCACAUUGGGACUGAGAUACGGACCAGACUCCUACGGGAGGCAGCAGUGGGGAAUAUUGCACAAUGGGCGGAAGCCUGAUGCAGCAACGCCGCGUGCGGGAUGACGGCCUUCGGGUUGUAAACCGCUUUCGCCUGUGACGAAGCGUGAGUGACGGUAAUGGGUAAAGAAGCACCGGCUAACUACGUG